Non-coding RNA from Phyllosticta citribraziliensis, 108 nucleotides. The record is from the annotation of a GenBank genome assembly. NCBI's taxonomy places the organism in Eukaryota, Fungi, Ascomycota, Dothideomycetes, Botryosphaeriales, Phyllostictaceae.
GCGGGGUUGGUGUAGUUGGUUAUCACGUCAGUCUAACAUCGAGUUUCCGAGCAAUUGGAGCUUGUGUCAGAGCACUGAAGGUCGCGAGUUCAAGUCUCGCAUCCCGUA